CACGUAGGGUGCGAGCGUUGUCCGGAUUUAUUGGGCGUAAAGAGCGUGUAGGCGGCCAGGUAGGUCUGCUGUGAAAACUCGAGGCUCAACCUCGAGACGUCGGCGGAAACCAUCUGGCUAGAGUCCGGAAGAGGAGAGUGGAAUUCCUGGUGUAGCGGUGAAAUGCGCAGAUAUCAGGAAGAACACCGGUGGCGAAGGCGGUUCUCUGGGCAUUACCUGACGCUGAGGAGCGAAAGUGUGGGGAGCGAACAGG
RNAcentral lists this ribosomal RNA (253 nucleotides) under uncultured bacterium. RNAcentral describes it as "partial 16S ribosomal RNA". It matches the Rfam family "Bacterial small subunit ribosomal RNA", at positions 524 to 776 of the family's 1533-position model. The record is from RNAcentral.